RNAcentral lists this ribosomal RNA (520 nucleotides) under uncultured Glomus. RNAcentral describes it as "SSU rRNA". It matches the Rfam family "Eukaryotic small subunit ribosomal RNA", at positions 569 to 1090 of the family's 1831-position model. The record is from RNAcentral. Lineage: Eukaryota; Fungi; Glomeromycota; Glomeromycetes; Glomerales; Glomeraceae.
AGCAGCCGCGGUAAUUCCAGCUCCAAUAGCGUAUAUUAAAGUUGCUGCAGUUAAAAAGCUCGUAGUUGAAUUUCGGGACUAAUAUGUUGGUCGUGCCUCGGUACGUACUGAUAUUUUUGGUUUCUCCCUUCUGACGAACCUUGAUGUCAUUAAUUUGGUGUCUUGGGAAAUCAGGACUGUUACUUUGAAAAAAUUAGAGUGUUUAAAGCGGGCUCACGCUUGAAUACAUUAGCAUGGAAUAAUGAAAUAGGACGUUUGAUUCUAUUUUGUUGGUUUCUAGGAUUGACGUAAUGAUUAAUAGGGAUAGUUGGGGGCAUUAGUAUUCAAUUGUCAGAGGUGAAAUUCUUGGAUUUAUUGAAGACUAACUACUGCGAAAGCAUUUUGCCAAGGAUGUUUUCAUUAAUCAAGAACGAAAGUUAGGGGAUCGAAGACGAUCAGAUACCGUCGUAGUCUUAACCAUAAACUAUGCCGACUAGGGAUCGGAUGAUGUUAAUUUUUUAAUGACUCAUUCGGCGCCUUA